GACGAACGCUGGCGGCGUGCUUAACACAUGCAAGUCGAACGGAAAGGCCCUGCUUUUGUGGGGUGCUCGAGUGGCGAACGGGUGAGUAACACGUGAGUAACCUGCCCUUGACUUUGGGAUAACUUCAGGAAACUGGGGCUAAUACCGGAUAGGAGCUCCUGCUGCAUGGUGGGGGUUGGAAAGUUUCGGCGGUUGGGGAUGGACUCGCGGCUUAUCAGCUUGUUGGUGGGGUAGUGGCUUACCAAGGCUUUGACGGGUAGCCGGCCUGAGAGGGUGACCGGCCCACAUGGGGGUUGAGUCAGGGCCCGGCCCCCACGGGGGGCCGGAGGGGGGAAUUUUUGCACAGGGGGGGGGGGCCGAAUGCAGCACCCCCGCGGGGGGAAGGAGGGCUUUGGGUUUGAAACCCGCUUUCCCCGGUGACAAAGGGGGGGUGAGGUUAGUGGGUAAAGAAGCCCCGCCAAACUCCGUC
Molecule: ribosomal RNA, 469 nt
Filed under: uncultured bacterium
Lineage: Bacteria
Description: partial 16S ribosomal RNA
Rfam family: Bacterial small subunit ribosomal RNA
Source: RNAcentral